Molecule: long non-coding RNA, 1275 nt
Organism: Dermochelys coriacea (leatherback sea turtle)
Lineage: Eukaryota; Metazoa; Chordata; Testudines; Dermochelyidae
Exons: 4
Source: RefSeq, a predicted model, not a curated record
UGCGGGCUCAGCCCCGCCCCCGGCCGCGCGGGGCGUGUCCGGUGCAUCCAGCGCAACCCCGCUGAGCGCGGCCCUCUGCCGCGGGGGACGCGGAACCGGGCUCCGGCGUCACUCCGCGCUGCGGGGCUUUGAUGCGGUUCGGAGCCUGCGGUUACCGCAGACGCUCACACUGGGUAACGCAGAGCCAGCCCGGGACUCCUACCUGAGCCUGGCUCUGUUGCCUCGUGCAGAGCUAGGGCCGGGGCCUGGUUUGUGAGAUAAGGAAAAAGCCCCCCCCCCCCCCCUUCUUACCCCUGACACUGGGGGGAGAAGGGUUACAGCAAGGUUAUGUGUGGCGUUGUUUGUAGCCGUGUCCGCCCCAGCACAUGAGAGAGGCAAGAUCUUUUUUCCAAGUAAAAGAAAAGUUGAAUACAAGAUCUCAUAAAAUGGAUGAAGUACUUAGUCUGGUUACCAAGUCUCGUUUUGAUACUUGUUGAUUUGAGUUAACUUGAAAUAUUGGGCAAAGUCUGAGAACUGAAACAGAAGCAGUGCUAGAAAGCUACUAUAACCCAUUUGCUAAACAGCUCUGUUGGUGUUUGUCCAAGUGCUAAAACAUUUCUUAUCUCAGAAAUAUUUGACACUGGGCAAUGUGCUUGUCUACAGAAUGCCAAAAGGGAAGAGGCUGGCAAAAUCAGAUUUCUGUGUGCAUGCCACCAUGGUGAAGAAGCCGGAGCAAUAAAUCAGAAUGGCUUUUCCAGUACCAAAGACUACAUUCAGAGAAGCCCAAUCAUGUUGAAGGAACUAACAGCAAAAUCAGAUAAAAUACAAAACAUCACUGAUGAAAAAAUUGACACUCUGGACACAUAGCAAAUGCCAUACUGGAUCAGACACCUGGUUCAUGUAAUCCAAGGAUCCCAUCUUUGACAAUGGCCUUCACCAGAUGCUUCAGAGGAAGGUGUAAGAAAUGCCACAAUAAGCAGAUAAUAGUUUGCAAAUUUUUAGUGUAUUCAUAAGAAUGGCCAUACGGGGUCAGACCAAAGAUCCAUCCAGCCCAGUAUCCUGUCUGCUGACAGUGGCCAAUGCCAGAUGUCCCAGAGGGAGUGAACCUAACAGAAGCCAGUAAUGAGGUCAUUAACAGCUGUGUCUUCAGAAACCUAAAAAUCAGAAUGGGAAUUACACUACAAGAAAUUCUGACAUCAAACUAGUCAGCUAAACUUCAUUCUUUUGUUCUGACAUUAUAGAACUUGUGAGCUCCAUGUACAUUGCAGCACAUUGAUAUUAAAAUAUUUAUACAUA